AGUGAACGCUGGCGGUAGGCCUAACACAUGCAAGUCGAACGGCAGCACAGUAAGAGCUUGCUCUUACGUGUGGCGAGAGGCGGACGGGUGAGGAAUACAUCGGAAUCUACUUUUUCGUGGGUGAUAACGUAGGGAAACUUACGCUAAUACCGCAUACGACCUACGGGUGAAAGCACGGGAUCUUCGGACCUUGCGCGAUUGAAUGAGCCAAUGUCGGAUUAGCUAGUUGGCGGGGUAAAGGCCCACCAAGGCGACGAUCCGUAUCUGGUCUGAGAGGAUGAUCAGACAGAUUGGAAGUGAGAAACGGUACAGACUCCUACGGGAGGAAGCAGUGGGGAAUAUUGCACGAUGGGGGAAAGCCGGAUACAGCAAUACCGCGUGAAUGAAGAAGGAGUUAGGGUGGGAGAGCGAUUUAGUUGGGAGAGAAAAGCAGCAGGUUUACACGGGGCUGUUAUGACGGUACCCAAAGAAUAAGCACCGGCUAACUUCGUG
This 492-nucleotide ribosomal RNA is filed under the name uncultured bacterium. Its description in RNAcentral is "partial 16S ribosomal RNA". It matches the Rfam family "Bacterial small subunit ribosomal RNA", at positions 29 to 507 of the family's 1533-position model. The record is from RNAcentral.